AUGGGCGCAAGCCUGAUCCAGCCAUGCCGCGUGAGUGAAGAAGGCCUUCGGGUUGUAAAGCUCUUUUGUUGGGGAAGAAAUUGCGUCUUUUAAUAGAGGGCGUAGAUGACGGUACCCGAAGAAUAAGCACCGGCUAACUACGUGCCAGCAGCCGCGGUAAU
RNAcentral lists this ribosomal RNA (161 nucleotides) under uncultured bacterium. Its description in RNAcentral is "partial 16S ribosomal RNA". It matches the Rfam family "Bacterial small subunit ribosomal RNA", at positions 371 to 524 of the family's 1533-position model. The record is from RNAcentral.